GGAGAGGUGCCGGAGUGGUCGAACGGGCACGGUUGGAAACCGUGUGUGCCCUUAGUGGCACCCAGGGUUCGAAUCCCUGUCUCUCCGCCA
RNAcentral lists this transfer RNA (90 nucleotides) under Planctomycetota bacterium. Its description in RNAcentral is "Planctomycetes bacterium tRNA-Ser". It matches the Rfam family "tRNA". Rfam says of the family: Transfer RNA (tRNA) molecules are approximately 80 nucleotides in length. Their secondary structure includes four short double-helical elements and three loops (D, anti-codon, and T loops). Lineage: Bacteria; Pseudomonadati; Planctomycetota. The record is from RNAcentral. RNAcentral also lists the same sequence under 1 other name.